GGGGGCAUAGCUCAGUGGUUAGAGCAGUCGGCUCAUAACCGAUUGGUCGCUGGUUCGAACCCAGCUGCCCCCACCA
RNAcentral lists this transfer RNA (76 nucleotides) under Candidatus Saccharimonadota bacterium. RNAcentral describes it as "tRNA-Ile". It matches the Rfam family "tRNA". Rfam says of the family: Transfer RNA (tRNA) molecules are approximately 80 nucleotides in length. Their secondary structure includes four short double-helical elements and three loops (D, anti-codon, and T loops). RNAcentral also lists the same sequence under 1 other name. Lineage: Bacteria; Candidatus Saccharimonadota. The record is from RNAcentral.